CGGAGAAGGCUAUGUUGGCCGGGCGACGGUUGUCCCGGUUUAAGCGUGUAGGCUGGUUUUCCAGGCAAAUCCGGAAAAUCAAGGCUGAGGCGUGAUGACGAGGCACUACGGUGCUGAAGCAACAAAUGCCCUGCUUCCAGGAAAAGCCUCUAAGCAUCAGGUAACAUCAAAUCGUACCCCAAACCGACACAGGUGGUCAGGUAGAGAAUACCAAGGCGCUUGAGAGAACUCGGGUGAAGGAACUAGGCAAAAUGGUGCCGUAACUUCGGGAGAAGGCACGCUGAUAUGUAGGUGAAGUCCCUCGCGGAUGGAGCUGAAAUCAGUCGAAGAUACCAGCUGGCUGCAACUGUUUAUUAAAAACACAGCACUGUGCAAACACGAAAGUGGACGUAUACGGUGUGACGCCUGCCCGGUGCCGGAAGGUUAAUUGAUGGGGUCAGCGCAAGCGAAGCUCUUGAUCGAAGCCCCGGUAAACGGCGGCCGUAACUAUAACGGUCCUAAGGUAGCGAAAUUCCUUGUCGGGUAAGUUCCGACCUGCACGAAUGGCGUAAUGAUGGCCAGGCUGUCUCCACCCGAGACUCAGUGAAAUUGAACUCGCUGUGAAGAUGCAGUGUACCCGCGGCAAGACGGAAAGACCCCGUGAACCUUUACUAUAGCUUGACACUGAACAUUGAGCCUUGAUGUGUAGGAUAGGUGGGAGGCUUUGAAGUGUGGACGCCAGUCUGCAUGGAGCCGACCUUGAAAUACCACCCUUUAAUGUUUGAUGUUCUAACGUGGACCCGUAAUCCGGGUUGCGGACAGUGUCUGGUGGGUAGUUUGACUGGGGCGGUCUCCUCCUAAAGAGUAACGGAGGAGCACGAAGGUUGGCUAAUCCUGGUCGGACAUCAGGAGGUUAGUGCAAUGGCAUAAGCCAGCUUGACUGCGAGCGUGACGGCGCGAGCAGGUGCGAAAGCAGGUCAUAGUGAUCCGGUGGUUCUGAAUGGAAGGGCCAUCGCUCAACGGAUAAAAGGUACUCCGGGGAUAACAGGCUGAUACCGCCCAAGAGUUCAUAUCGACGGCGGUGUUUGGCACCUCGAUGUCGGCUCAUCACAUCCUGGGGCUGAAGUAGGUCCCAAGGGUAUGGCUGUUCGCCAUUUAAAGUGGUACGCGAGCUGGGUUUAGAACGUCGUGAGACAGUUCGGUCCCUAUCUGCCGUGGGCGCUGGAGAACUGAGGGGGGCUGCUCCUAGUACGAGAGGACCGGAGUGGACGCAUCACUGGUGUUCGGGUUGUCAUGCCAAUGGCACUGCCCGGUAGCUAAAUGCGGAAGAGAUAAGUGCUGAAAGCAUCUAAGCACGAAACUUGCCCCGAGAUGAGUUCUCCCUGACUCCUUGAGAGUCCUGAAGGAACGUUGAAGACGACGACGUUGAUAGGCCGGGUGUGUAAGCGCAGCGAU
RNAcentral lists this ribosomal RNA (1434 nucleotides) under Escherichia coli. Its description in RNAcentral is "partial 23S ribosomal RNA". It matches the Rfam family "Bacterial large subunit ribosomal RNA", at positions 1473 to 2882 of the family's 2925-position model. Lineage: Bacteria; Pseudomonadati; Pseudomonadota; Gammaproteobacteria; Enterobacterales; Enterobacteriaceae. The record is from RNAcentral.